RNAcentral lists this ribosomal RNA (391 nucleotides) under uncultured archaeon. RNAcentral describes it as "bacterial SSU rRNA". It matches the Rfam family "Archaeal small subunit ribosomal RNA", at positions 88 to 478 of the family's 1478-position model. The record is from RNAcentral.
UUUCAAGAACACGUGGACAACCUACCCUCCGGACGGGUAUAAACCCGGGAAACUGGGUAUAAUCCCCGAUAGAUCUCGGUCGCUGGAAUGCCCCGAGAUCGAAAGCUCCGGCGCCAGAGGAUGGGUCUGCGGCCUAUCAGGUAGUAGUGGGUGUAGCGUACCUACUAGCCUACGACGGGUACGGGUUGUGAGAGCAAGAGCCCGGAGAUGGAUUCUGAGACACGAAUCCAGGCCCUACGGGGUGCAGCAGGCGCGAAAACUUUACAAUGCCGGCAACGGCGAUAAGGGGACCUCGAGUGCCAGGUUACAAAUCUGGCUGUCGUGAUGCCUAAAAAGCAUUGCAUAGCAAGGGCCGGGCAAGACCGGUGCCAGCAGCCGCGGUAAUAAAAUA